GGAUCCAUAAAUCGCUCUAGCCCUGUUUCACAAAAAUUUAAAUAUCUCAUAAAAUAUAACUCAUAUACCUGUUCCAUCCAUAUGAAAUAGACUCAUCAAGCUUUAAUUCUAUAUCUCAUUCACUAUCUAAAUCCAUUUCUACUAUUUUUAGUGAUUUUCCAAAUUCACAUCAUUAUUGCUGUCUGAUAUUGUUUUAAAGCUAAUUUCACCUUUUUCAUGAUUUUCAUGGAAUAACUAGCAUUUAGGCAUACAUAACACCAAACAUGUCCUUGAUUAGCCAUUCCAACAGCUAAUCAUUAUCAAGCAUUUACAUACCAUUCAUCACCCAUAUCAUAAGAUCAUACACACAAAAUGGCUACGAUGCUAUACAUGCCAUACUCAAAAUGAAACGACUAGCUAUACCAAAAUAAUCCUCGUGAUAGUGUGCCCGGACCUCCGACGUACUUUACGAUCCCCGAGUUAGCUUGAAAAAACUAUAGAAAGAAGGAAACUAAAGGGGGUAAGCAUUAAGCUUAGUAAGUUUGCAUGCAAAUAAAUAACAACAUUCAUAAGAAUUAUCUUACUACUUGGCAUGAUACUACUUAAUGCAACUUCAUUAAUUGUCAUAGACAUAUUUUAAACUUCUUCACUUACUCACUUACUUAAAUACUUACUUAAUCAAAUUUAUUAAUACAUUUUACUUACCUUUUUCCUUAUCAAGCAUACAUGAACAUUAUGUACUUACCUUUGCUCUUCUAGCAUGAACUUGUCUUACUUUUUUAGUAUAACUCGUCUUACCUUACCUUACCUUGAUAUUCUCUUUAAAUUUUCCCGUCGAACCACUUGGAAUACUAAGGAUACGCGGGUACCUUACCAUUGCCAUGACUUGUCAUGGUCUUACGUGGUAUCCUUUUGAAACUUACUAUUGCCAUGUCUUGACAUGGUCUUACAUGGUAUCCUUGCCUUAUGAACUCACCAAUGCCAUGCCUUGGCAUGGUCUUACAUGGGACCUUUGCCUUAUAGUAACUUAUCAAUGCCAUGUCUUGACAUGGUCUUACAUGAUUUCCUUGCCUUAGAAACCUUACCAAUUCCCAUGCCUUAGCAUGGUCUUACAUGGUAUCCUUAAACCCUAAUGUCAUGACAUUUGUAUUCUACACAUUCCUAAGGUUCAACCGGGACUUUCUGAAAUUACUUCUCCGUCAAUUCAUGCUUGAGUCUUCUUUGAAUAAUUUCAUAAAAUAAAUAUACACAUGCUGGAAAUUAACAACAUUAACAUAAAAUAAUAGAAUAUUGCAUUUAUUUACUGCAAACUUACCUCGAAACAAAAUACGAUCAACUAUAUCGAUUUAGUCCAUUAUCUUUUUCUUUCCCCGGUCUGACUCCGAAUUUUGUUCUUCUUGAUCUAUAAUAAAAAAAUUUAGCUUAUUUAAUACUCACAUUUAUUAAAACAGUCCUUGACCCAAACUUUGGAAAAAUUAUAUUUUUGCCCCUAAACUUUUACAUAUUUACACUUUUUCCCCAAGGCUCGAAAUUUAAACUUCAUCCUAUUUUCUUAUGUUUUAUGACAUGCUGAUCAUUUUUCCCAUCUAUGAAAACAUAAAAUUCUCACUCUAACAUGUACUUAUGACUAUUAGGUAUUUUUACCGAUUAAGCCCUUUUACUCGUUUUCACUUAAAACCGAGUAGCACAAGUUGUCUAACAUAAUUUAAAACCUCAUAUUCUAUCAUAAAACACCAAAAUACACAAAUUUCACCUAUGGGUAUUUUUCCAAAUAUGAACCCUAGGUUGAAUUAUUGCGAGAAUAAGCUUAAUCAAGUUACCGGGACUCCAAAAAUGUAAAGAACAUUAAAAACGGGGCUUGAAAUCACUUACUAUGGAGCUUGGAAGCUUGGAAAAAACCCUAGCUAUGGAGAAACCUUGAAAUUUCGGC
This 1909-nucleotide long non-coding RNA is filed under the name Gossypium barbadense (sea-island cotton). RNAcentral describes it as "long non-coding RNA (GBAR_LNC011513)". Lineage: Eukaryota; Viridiplantae; Streptophyta; Magnoliopsida; Malvales; Malvaceae. The record is from RNAcentral.